CCUACGGGGGGCUGCAGUGGGGAAUAUUGGACAAUGGGGGGAACCCUGAUCCAGCCAUGCCGCGUGUGUGAAGAAGGCCCUCGGGUUGUAAAGCACUUUCAGUGAGGAAGAACGCCUGGUGGUUAAUACCCAUCAGGAAAGACAUCACUCACAGAAGAAGCACCGGCUAACUCCGUGCCAGCAGCCGCGGUAAUACGGAGGGUGCGAGCGUUAAUCGGAAUUACUGGGCGUAAAGCGCGCGUAGGUGGCUUGAUAAGCCGGUUGUGAAAGCCCCGGGCUCAACCUGGGAACGGCAUCCGGAACUGUCAAGCUAGAGUGCAGGAGAGGAAGGUAGAAUUCCCGGUGUAGCGGUGAAAUGCGUAGAGAUCGGGAGGAAUACCAGUGGCGAAGGCGGACUUCUGGACUGACACUGACACUGAGGUGCGAAAGCGUGGGUAGCAAACAGGAUUAGAUACCCCAGUAGUC
This 465-nucleotide ribosomal RNA is filed under the name Vreelandella stevensii. Its description in RNAcentral is "partial 16S ribosomal RNA". It matches the Rfam family "Bacterial small subunit ribosomal RNA", at positions 338 to 795 of the family's 1533-position model. Lineage: Bacteria; Pseudomonadati; Pseudomonadota; Gammaproteobacteria; Oceanospirillales; Halomonadaceae. The record is from RNAcentral.